Molecule: microRNA precursor, 67 nt
Organism: Chlorocebus sabaeus (green monkey)
Lineage: Eukaryota; Metazoa; Chordata; Mammalia; Primates; Cercopithecidae
Gene: MIR611
Product: microRNA 611
Source: Ensembl
AAAAUGGUGAGAGGGUUAAGGGGAGUUCCCGACGGAGAUGCGAGGACCCCUCGGGGUCUGACCCACA